GGGAGAGGACAGGAAGCUGCCAUCCACACUCAAGAAAUAACCAGAUCAGAGACUUGGAAGGAAAGGUGUAUUUUUUGGAAGAGUUCUGGAGAACUUGAAAUCUCAUACCCCUUCAAAACAUGCUGUCCUAUGAAUAAAAGCUCUUCAAAUCGAAUUGGUUCGAUUCAGAGCUUGGUGACUACAAAUGGGCCGGUGGAAAAGGCUCCCCUACCCGCUUCUCACAACAACAGCCUUUUCAAGGUCCUGGAAAAUGCUACAUGGGAUACUGGUAGUGUGGGAAGAAGGGUGGAAAACCAUUCUGAGGCAUUUCCCAUAACGAAUCCAAGCCUCUAUGUCUGAAGCACUUUAUUACAUUUUAAUAAAAAGAAUUGAGAAUACUACUCAAUAAAUCUCUCAGGUUCCAAUUUGAUUCAUC
Molecule: long non-coding RNA, 415 nt
Organism: Sceloporus undulatus (fence lizard)
Lineage: Eukaryota; Metazoa; Chordata; Lepidosauria; Squamata; Phrynosomatidae
Exons: 3
Source: RefSeq, a predicted model, not a curated record